CCCUUAGAUGUUCUGGGCCGCACGCGCGCUACACUGAUGCAUUCAACGAGUUUCUUCCUGGUCCGAGAGGAAUGGGUAACCUUUUGAAAGAGCAUCGUGAUAGGGAUAGACUAUUGCAAUUAUUGGUCUUCAACGAGGAAUUCCUAGUAGACGUAGUUCAUCAGACUGCAUCGAUUACGUCCCUGCCCUUUGUACACACCGCCCGUCGCUCCUACCGAUUGAAUGCUCAGGUGAGCCAUUCGGACUUUCAUCAUGCUGGUUUCCAGUUUUGAUGAAGGAAAGUCUUGCGAACCUUAUCAUUUAGAGGAAGGAGAAGUCGUAACA
This 324-nucleotide ribosomal RNA is filed under the name uncultured eukaryote. RNAcentral's name for it is "partial 18S ribosomal RNA". It matches the Rfam family "Eukaryotic small subunit ribosomal RNA", at positions 1470 to 1796 of the family's 1831-position model. The record is from RNAcentral.